AUUGAACGCUGGCGGCAGGCCUAACACAUGCAAGUCGAACGGUAACAGGGAUCAGCUUGCUGAUUCGCUGACGAGUGGCGGACGGGUGAGUAAUGUCUGGGAAACUGCCUGCUGGAGGGGGAUAACUACUGGAAACGGUAGCUAAUACCGCAUAACGUCGCAAGACCAAAGAGGGGGACCUUCGGGCCUCUUGCCAUCGGAUGUGCCCAGAUGGGAUUAGCUAGUAGGUGGGGUAACGGCUCACCUAGGCGACGAUCCCUAGCUGGUCUGAGAGGAUGACCAGCCACACUGGAACUGAGACACGGUCCAGACUCCUACGGGAGGCAGCAGUGGGGAAUAUUGCACAAUGGGCGCAAGCCUGAUGCAGCCAUGCCGCGUGUAUGAAGAAGGCCUUCGGGUUGUAAAGUACUUUCAGCGGGGAGGAAGGGAGUAAAGUUAAUACCUUUGCUCAUUGACGUUACCCGCAGAAGAAGCACCGGCUAACUCCGUG
RNAcentral lists this ribosomal RNA (490 nucleotides) under uncultured bacterium. RNAcentral's name for it is "partial 16S ribosomal RNA". It matches the Rfam family "Bacterial small subunit ribosomal RNA", at positions 30 to 507 of the family's 1533-position model. The record is from RNAcentral.